AGGAUAAUAGUUUACAUAAAACAUUUAGUUUGCAAUUAGAAAAAAUUACUUUAAAUUUAUCUU
Molecule: transfer RNA, 63 nt
Filed under: Curculionoidea sp. 1 KM-2017
Lineage: Eukaryota; Metazoa; Arthropoda; Insecta; Coleoptera
Description: tRNA-Ala
Source: RNAcentral